UCGCCCCAUAGUCUGGGAUACCACUUGGAAACAGGUGCUAAUACCGGAUAAGAAAGCGGAUCGCAUGAUCAGCUUUUAAAAGGCGGCGUAAGCUGUCGCUAUGGGAUGGCCCCGCGGUGCAUUAGCUAGUUGGUAAGGUAAAGGCUUACCAAGGCGAUGAUGCAUAGCCGAGUUGAGAGACUGAUCGGCCACAUUGGGACUGAGACACGGCCCAAACUCCUACGGGAGGCAGCAGAU
This 237-nucleotide ribosomal RNA is filed under the name uncultured Lactobacillus sp. Its description in RNAcentral is "partial 16S ribosomal RNA". It matches the Rfam family "Bacterial small subunit ribosomal RNA", at positions 126 to 354 of the family's 1533-position model. Lineage: Bacteria; Bacillati; Bacillota; Bacilli; Lactobacillales; Lactobacillaceae. The record is from RNAcentral.